RNAcentral lists this long non-coding RNA (961 nucleotides) under Anser brachyrhynchus (Pink-footed goose). RNAcentral's name for it is "lncRNA (ENSABRG00000004637.1)". Lineage: Eukaryota; Metazoa; Chordata; Aves; Anseriformes; Anatidae. The record is from RNAcentral.
GUUUUAAUUUUCUUUUAUCUCGCUCAAGUACUCUGAUUUCUGCUCUUUUCUUCAGAUGUUUUGAUAAUUUGACUCUGUCUCAGACAUUGAGAUUUAACAUAGAUUAAAACAGUAUUUAUAUCUGACCAGAUUUGAUAAAACCAAGGACAAAACUAGGGUUCACUAAAAAACAAGGAUUCCAUUUGCCAGAACAUAAUGUGUCUGGCUUAUUUUUCGCUCUGCACUGGAGAUAAUCUGAGAUCUGAUUUUUUUGUUUGUUUGUUUGCACUGCCAUUUAUAAAAGGUAUAAGAGACGGGCAUUCAUUUAAAAGUUAUUGUUAAAAUGACAGUCACUCAAGAUAUAGGAGACCUUGAUUCAAGUGUUCUUCCUCUUUCAUGAAAGGAUUCGAACCAUUAACUACUCUAAAAAUUGCACAUUGCAGUUUUCAGCCUCUGAGACAUUCCCAAAUGGGAGUGUCACACCCAUUUUCUGGACUUCAAACCAAUCUAUGGAGUGAACUCUGUGUUUAGCAACCAGUAUUAUCCUCCUGACUCUUCUCAUGCUUUUUCAACAACAGUUUAUGUUGGAGCUGAAUUUUCUCAAGACUCACUACUCAAUCCAAAUUGCAAAAUUGAAGCAACAAAAUUUUCAGUCAUCAUCCCAGUCAGUGGACAAGGUAUUAUGCCACACAUCUUCAGAAAUGAAAACAUGAAAUGGCAGCUGGGGACAAGAACGUCCAUGGAGCUCAAUAUAAGCCAGUUUUUGAAGUGGGUGUCAGACUAAUUCAUGAAGAAGUGAGAGGAAGAUGAUGAGGAAGAAGAGAUGAAGAAGGACAGAAGGUAGGCAUAAAGAAGUUUCCAUGUGAAUGGAUCAGAGAAAGAAGCCUGGUACAGUAAUUAGACAGUAAUACACGCUGUCGAAUGAGCAGGAUGAGAAUGAAGAUGUCUGCCUGUGCCUCUUCCCCCGACUCCCUUCCUCCCC